This is an RNA transcript of Onychostruthus taczanowskii (white-rumped snowfinch), 1697 nucleotides long. It is a transcript of the gene named DnaJ heat shock protein family (Hsp40) member B2, with no coding region annotated. The record is from RefSeq and is a predicted model, not a curated record. The transcript is spliced from 10 exons. NCBI's taxonomy places the organism in Eukaryota, Metazoa, Chordata, Aves, Passeriformes, Passeridae.
UCGGGAGGCAGUGGGGUGGCCGGGGCGCUAGAGAGGUGACCCCGUGGGACAGCUCACGUCAUGGUCGACUACUACGAAGCGCUGGGGGUGAGCCGCAACGCCACCGCUGAGGACAUCAAGAAGGCGUACAGGAAGGCUGCGCUGAAAUGGCACCCGGAUAAGAACCCAGACAACAAGGAGUAUGCUGAGCAGAGGUUCAAGGAGAUUGCUGAGGCGUACGAAGUGCUGUCGGACAAGCAGAAGCGUGACAUCUACGACCGCUAUGGCAAGGAUGGACUCAUGGGAGCAGCAGGACCAGGUGGCUCCAGGGCCAGUGCCGGGGCCCCCGAAUUCACCUUCACCUUCCGCAGCGCUCACGACGUCUUCCGGGAAUUCUUUGGCGGACGAGACCCCUUUGCUGAAUUCUUUGAUGACAUGAUGCCCUUCUCUGAGCUGCGAGGACCUGGCCCCCGGCACCAUGGGGGAGGACAUUUCUUUUCCCCCUUCCCAGGAUCCUCAGAUUUCUUCGCCUCAUCCUUCAGCUCUGGUGCAGACGCAGGACUGGGCUUCCGCUCUGUUUCCACCUCCACCACCUUUGUUAACGGCAGGCGCAUCACCACCAAGAGGAUUGUUGAGAAUGGGCGGGAACGGGUGGAAGUGGAGGAGGAUGGGGAGCUGAAGUCGAUUCACAUCAAUGGUGUUCCUGAUGACAUGGCGCUGGGGCUGGAGCUGAGCCGGCGGGAGCAGCAAGCCUUCCCCAGGCCACGGCCCCCCUCACCGCCAGCACCGGCCCCACACCAGACCUCGAGCUCCUCACCUGUCUGCCUCUACACGGAUAGCGAGGAUGAGGAUGAGGACUUGCAGCUGGCCAUGGCCUACAGCCUCUCUGAGAUGGAAGCUGCAGGGCACCACCAAGCAGGUGGGCACAGCCCCGGCUCCCUGUCGGCAGCGGGGGGCAGCCACAGCAGCCCGUCCUCCACCCGCAGAGCCCGUGGUGCCCGGGGGAGGCUGGAGCAGGAGCCGCUGGGGGCCAGCAGUUCUGCUGCAGAGGGGCACGAACCUGCCCCCAAAGUGAAGCUGUGGCACUGCCCCCUUCUCUGAGCGUGGGGCAGGGAGAGGAAAGCAGGGCUGGAGUCUCACUGCUUGGAACUCAGCUCCUGCCUCCCCUAGCACGGGAGGGGGGUGCCUCCUUGCCCUGCCUCCUUGCUCAGGUGAGCGGAUGGCUAGUGGCAUCCCAGCGUUGGAGGCUCCCAGACGUGGAGGUAGUGGCUUGAAGAGGAGCCCCCUUGAUGGGGUCCCAGGAAGAGAGGCAGCUCCCUGCCCUAGCUACUGGAAGCGUAGGGGGCCCGAGGGCAGACAUGCUCUGGCUGUGCCUGCCCCUCUCUCCCUGCCAGCCCUGCAGGUGGCAGGGUCUCCAGCAGGUGCCUCCCUGGCUGCAGCCUGUCCUUGCCCAGGCUGCAGGGAGUGCUGAGUUGAGCUCCCCUCCUUGCAAGGAGGGCUGUGCACAUAGCCUCUGCUUGGUGCCUUGUGUCUUGUCUCUUCCCUCUGGAUGCUGUUGCUCCUGCCUGUACUCCCUCCUCCUCUGUCUCCUUGCGGACUCUGCCUGGUCACUCCCUUCCGUAUGCCUUGCACACCCUCCAGGGCACUGUCCCUCCUUGCUUCCCACAGCAGCCGUGACCCUCCGUGAUGUUCACAAGUGUUCCUACCCUCUUCAUUGC